GGAGGGGUUCCCGAGUGGCCAAAGGGAGCAGACUGUAAAUCUGCCGGCUCCGCCUUCGAUGGUUCGAAUCCGUCCCC
Molecule: transfer RNA, 77 nt
Filed under: Vibrio cholerae HC-60A1
Lineage: Bacteria; Pseudomonadati; Pseudomonadota; Gammaproteobacteria; Vibrionales; Vibrionaceae
Also listed under: 2 other names
Description: partial tRNA-Tyr
Rfam family: tRNA
About the family: Transfer RNA (tRNA) molecules are approximately 80 nucleotides in length.
Source: RNAcentral